AAAAUGUUCAAUGGUUGAAAGUUUUAAUUUUUUGGGUUUGUCCCUCCGUUUAGUUACUAAACAUUCAAGCAGAGCAUGAAUCAUUAUUGUAGUCAUGGUGUAACUAAACAUUCAAGCAGAGCAUGAAUCAUUAUUGUAGUCAUGACUAGGUGAUCUAUGGAUCUGGACAUAAUUUCGCGGGCGUAAAGUGCAACCCCGCUCCACGCUUGCGGCAGCCUAGUUUCACAUCUUUUUUUCUGUUGAAACUUUAAGAAAACGGUGCUACAACUCAGGUUCGAACCCACGACCCCACGCUUCGCAGCGACCACACUAAACACUAGGCCAUC
Molecule: long non-coding RNA, 326 nt
Filed under: Hordeum vulgare
Lineage: Eukaryota; Viridiplantae; Streptophyta; Magnoliopsida; Poales; Poaceae
Description: long non-coding RNA (HVUL_LNC018518)
Source: RNAcentral